RNAcentral lists this transfer RNA (73 nucleotides) under Stegodyphus mimosarum. It matches the Rfam family "tRNA". From Rfam's summary of the family: Transfer RNA (tRNA) molecules are approximately 80 nucleotides in length. Their secondary structure includes four short double-helical elements and three loops (D, anti-codon, and T loops). The record is from Rfam by way of RNAcentral. Lineage: Eukaryota; Metazoa; Arthropoda; Arachnida; Araneae; Eresidae.
GCCUUCGUGGUGUAGUGGUCAGCACGUUUGGAGCGUAUUCCAGUGGUCCUUGGUUCAAGUCUCGGCGAGGGCA